This 908-nucleotide ribosomal RNA is filed under the name uncultured bacterium. Its description in RNAcentral is "bacterial SSU rRNA". It matches the Rfam family "Bacterial small subunit ribosomal RNA", at positions 8 to 916 of the family's 1533-position model. The record is from RNAcentral.
AGAGUUUGAUCAUGGCUCCGNUUGAACGCUAGCGGCAGGCCUAACACAUGCAAGUCGAGGGGUAACAGGGUAGCAAUACUGCUGACGACCGGCGCACGGGUGAGUAACGCGUAUGCAAUCUUCCUCUUACAUGGGCACAACCCCGAGAAAUCGGGGCUAAUUCCCAAUAACAUUUWAGGGAGGCAUCUCCCUGAUCUUAAAGCUCCGGCGGUAAGAGAUGAGCAUGCGUACCAUUAGCUAGUUGGUAGGGUCACGGCCUACCAAGGCAGUGAUGGUUAGGAGGUCUUAAAGGAUGAUCUCCCACACUGGUACUGAGACACGGACCAGACUCCUACGGGAGGCAGCAGUGAGGAAUAUUGGUCAAUGGGGGCAACCCUGAACCAGCCAUGCCGCGUGCAGGAUGAAGGCUCUACGGGUCGUAAACUGCUUUUGUACGGGAAGAAACGUCCUACGCGAUAGGAACUUGACUGUACCGUAUGAAUAAGCAUCGGCUAACUCCGUGCCAGCAGCCGCGGUAAUACGGAGGAUGCAGGCGUUAUCCGGAUUUAUUAGGUUUAAAGGGUGCGUAGGCGGGAUUGUAAGUCAGCGGUGAAAUCCCACAGCUCAACUGUGGAACUGCCAUUGAUACUGCAAACCUUGAGUACAAAUGAGGUAGGCGGAAUGUGUAAUGUAGCGGUGAAAUGCAUAGAUAUUACACAGAACUCCGAUUGCGAAGGCAGCUUACUAAAAUGUAACUGACGCUGAUGCACGAAAGCGUGGGGAGCAAACAGGAUUAGAUACCCUGGUAGUCCACGCCGUAAACGAUGAUUACUCGAUGUUGGCGGUACACAGCCAGCGUCUGAGCGAAAGCAUUAAGUAAUCCACCUGGGGAGUACGGCGGCAACGCUGAAACUCAAAGGAAUUGACGG